Molecule: ribosomal RNA, 1436 nt
Filed under: uncultured organism
Description: 16S ribosomal RNA
Rfam family: Bacterial small subunit ribosomal RNA
Source: RNAcentral
CUCAGGAUGAACGCUAGCUACAGGCUUAACACAUGCAAGUCGAGGGGCAGCAUGGUCUUAGCUUGCUAAGGCCGAUGGCGACCGGCGCACGGGUGAGUAACACGUAUCCAACCUGCCGUCUACUCUUGGACAGCCUUCUGAAAGGAAGAUUAAUACAAGAUGGCAUCAUGAGUCCGCAUGUUCACAUGAUUAAAGGUAUUCCGGUAGACGAUGGGAUGCGUUCCAUUAGAUAGUAGGCGGGGUAACGGCCCACCUAGUCUUCGAUGGAUAGGGGUUCUGAGAGGAAGGUCCCCCACAUUGGAACUGAGACACGGUCCAAACUCCUACGGGAGGCAGCAGUGAGGAAUAUUGGUCAAUGGGCGAGAGCCUGAACCAGCCAAGUAGCGUGAAGGAUGACUGCCCUAUGGGUUGUAAACUUCUUUUAUAAAGGAAUAAAGUCGGGUAUGGAUACCCGUUUGCAUGUACUUUAUGAAUAAGGAUCGGCUAACUCCGUGCCAGCAGCCGCGGUAAUACGGAGGAUCCGAGCGUUAUCCGGAUUUAUUGGGUUUAAAGGGAGCGUAGAUGGAUGUUUAAGUCAGUUGUGAAAGUUUGCGGCUCAACCGUAAAAUUGCAGUUGAUACUGGAUAUCUUGAGUGCAGUUGAGGCAGGCGGAAUUCGUGGUGUAGCGGUGAAAUGCUUAGAUAUCACGAAGAACUCCGAUUGCGAAGGCAGCCUGCUAAGCUGCAACUGACAUUGAGGCUCGAAAGUGUGGGUAUCAAACAGGAUUAGAUACCCUGGUAGUCCACACGGUAAACGAUGAAUACUCGCUGUUUGCGAUAUACUGCAAGCGGCCAAGCGAAAGCGUUAAGUAUUCCACCUGGGGAGUACGCCGGCAACGGUGAAACUCAAAGGAAUUGACGGGGGCCCGCACAAGCGGAGGAACAUGUGGUUUAAUUCGAUGAUACGCGAGGAACCUUACCCGGGCUUAAAUUGCAGAUGAAUUACGGUGAAAGCCGUAAGCCGCAAGGCAUCUGUGAAGGUGCUGCAUGGUUGUCGUCAGCUCGUGCCGUGAGGUGUCGGCUUAAGUGCCAUAACGAGCGCAACCCUUGUUGUCAGUUACUAACAGGUUCCGCUGAGGACUCUGACAAGACUGCCAUCGUAAGAUGUGAGGAAGGUGGGGAUGACGUCAAAUCAGCACGGCCCUUACGUCCGGGGCUACACACGUGUUACAAUGGGGGGUACAGAGGGCCGCUACCACGCGAGUGGAUGCCAAUCCCCAAAACCUCUCUCAGUUCGGACUGGAGUCUGCAACCCGACUCCACGAAGCUGGAUUCGCUAGUAAUCGCGCAUCAGCCACGGCGCGGUGAAUACGUUCCCGGGCCUUGUACACACCGCCCGUCAAGCCAUGGGAGCCGGGGGUACCUGAAGUGCGUAACCGCGAGGAGCGCCCUAGGGUA